CGGGUGGCGAGUGGCGAACGGGUGAGUAACGCGUAGGAAUAUGCCUUAAAGAGGGGGACAACUUGGGGAAACUCAAGCUAAUACCGCAUAAUCUCUUAGGAGAAAAGCUGGGGAUCGCAAGACCUGGCGCUUUAAGAUUAGCCUGCGUCCGAUUAGCUAGUUGGUAGGGUAAAGGCCUACCAAGGCGACGAUCGGUAGCUGGUCUGAGAGGAUGGCCAGCCACACUGGAACUGAGACACGGUCCAGACUCC
RNAcentral lists this ribosomal RNA (251 nucleotides) under uncultured bacterium. RNAcentral's name for it is "partial 16S ribosomal RNA". It matches the Rfam family "Bacterial small subunit ribosomal RNA", at positions 85 to 339 of the family's 1533-position model. The record is from RNAcentral.